ACGGAGGGUGCAAGCGUUAUCCGGAUUCACUGGGUUUAAAGGGUGCGUAGGCGGGCAGGUAAGUCAGUGGUGAAAUCCCCGAGCUUAACUCGGGAACUGCCGUUGAUACUAUCUGUCUUGAAUACUGUGGAGGUAAGCGGAAUAUGUCAUGUAGCGGUGAAAUGCUUAGAUAUGACAUAGAACACCCAUUGCGAAGGCAGCUUACUACGCAUAUAUUGACGCUGAGGCACGAAAGCGUGGGGAUCAAACAGGAUUAGAUACCCUGGUAGUCCACGCCCUAAACUAUGGAUACUCGACAUAUGCGAUACACUGUAUGUGUCUGAGCGAAAGCAUUAAGUAUCCCACCUGGGAAGUACGUUCGCAAGAAUG
This 369-nucleotide ribosomal RNA is filed under the name uncultured bacterium. RNAcentral's name for it is "bacterial SSU rRNA". It matches the Rfam family "Bacterial small subunit ribosomal RNA", at positions 525 to 896 of the family's 1533-position model. The record is from RNAcentral.